GUUGUAUGGUUAAGUGACUAAGCGUACACGGUGGAUGCCUGGGCAGUCAGAGGCGAUGAAGGACGUACUAACUUGCGAUAAGCGCAGAUAAGGCAGUAAGAGCCGUUUGAGUCUGCGAUUUCCGAAUGGGGAAACCCAACUGCAUAAGCAGUUACUGUUAACUGAAUACAUAGGUUAACAGAGCAAACCGGGGGAACUGAAACAUCUAAGUACCCCGAGGAGAAGAAAUCAACCGAGAUUCCGGUAGUAGCGGCGAGCGAACCUGGAUUAGCCCUUAAGCACUCGGUGAAGUAGGUGAACAAGCUGGAAAGCUUGGCGAUACAGGGUGAUAGCCCCGUAACCGACGCUUCAUCGAGCGUGAAAUCGAGUAGGGCGGGACACGUGAUAUCCUGUCUGAAUAUGGGGGGACCAUCCUCCAAGGCUAAAUACUCCUGACUGACCGAUAGUGAACCAGUACCGUGAGGGAAAGGCGAAAAGAACCCCUGUGAGGGGAGUGAAAUAGAACCUGAAACCGUGUACGUACAAGCAGUAGGAGCACCUUCGUGGUGUGACUGCGUACCUUUUGUAUAAUGGGUCAGCGACUUAUAUUCAGUGGCAAGGUUAACCGUAUAGGGGAGCCGUAGCGAAAGCGAGUCUUAACUGGGCGCUCAGUCUCUGGAUAUAGACCCGAAACCGGGUGAUCUAGCCAUGGGCAGGUUGAAGGUUGAGUAACAUCAACUGGAGGACCGAACCGACUAAUGUUGAAAAAUUAGCGGAUGACUUGUGGCUAGGGGUGAAAGGCCAAUCAAACUCGGAGAUAGCUGGUUCUCCCCGAAAGCUAUUUAGGUAGCGCCUCGGACGAAUACUACUGGGGGUAGAGCACUGUUAAGGCUAGGGGGUCAUCCCGACUUACCAACCCUUUGCAAACUCCGAAUACCAGUAAGUACUAUCCGGGAGACACACGGCGGGUGCUAACGUCCGUCGUGGAGAGGGAAACAACCCAGACCGCCAGCUAAGGUCCCAAAGUAUUGCUAAGUGGGAAACGAUGUGGGAAGGCUCAGACAGCUAGGAUGUUGGCUUAGAAGCAGCCAUCAUUUAAAGAAAGCGUAAUAGCUCACUA
RNAcentral lists this ribosomal RNA (1099 nucleotides) under Vibrio cholerae. RNAcentral's name for it is "bacterial LSU rRNA". It matches the Rfam family "Bacterial large subunit ribosomal RNA", at positions 1 to 1147 of the family's 2925-position model. Lineage: Bacteria; Pseudomonadati; Pseudomonadota; Gammaproteobacteria; Vibrionales; Vibrionaceae. The record is from RNAcentral.